GGGGAUAUGGCUCAAUGGUAGAGUUCUUGCUUUGCAUGCAUAAGGCACUGGGUUUGAUCCCCAAUACCACCA
RNAcentral lists this transfer RNA (72 nucleotides) under Cavia porcellus (domestic guinea pig). It matches the Rfam family "tRNA". From Rfam's summary of the family: Transfer RNA (tRNA) molecules are approximately 80 nucleotides in length. Lineage: Eukaryota; Metazoa; Chordata; Mammalia; Rodentia; Caviidae. The record is from Rfam by way of RNAcentral.